CCCUUAGAUGUCCUUGGCUGCACGCGCGCUACACUGAUGUGUCCAGUAAGCACCUAACCUCUUCCGAAAGGAACGGGUAACCUUUGCAAAGCACAUCGUGAUGGGGAUAGAUUAUUGCAAUUAUUAGUCUUGAACGAGGAAUUCCUAGUAAGCACAAGUCAUCAGCUUGUGUUGAUUACGUCCCUGCCCUUUGUACACACCGCCCGUCGCUCCUACCGAUUGAAUGUUCCGGUGAGCUCUUCGGACUGCGCGGUCUGCAGUUUCUGCGUUCCGUGCGGAAAGUUGCGCAAACCUUAACAUUUAGAGGAAGGAGAAGUCGUAACA
This 324-nucleotide ribosomal RNA is filed under the name uncultured eukaryote. RNAcentral describes it as "partial 18S ribosomal RNA". It matches the Rfam family "Eukaryotic small subunit ribosomal RNA", at positions 1470 to 1796 of the family's 1831-position model. The record is from RNAcentral.